RNAcentral lists this ribosomal RNA (200 nucleotides) under uncultured bacterium. Its description in RNAcentral is "partial 16S ribosomal RNA". It matches the Rfam family "Bacterial small subunit ribosomal RNA", at positions 8 to 204 of the family's 1533-position model. The record is from RNAcentral.
AGAGUUUGAUCAUGGCUCAGAACGAACGUUGGCGGCGUGGAUUAGGCAUGCAAGUCGAACGAAUCCCAGGGGGCAACUCCUGGGGGAAGUGGCGAAAGGGGCAGUAAGGCAUGGGUAACUUGCCCCGGAGACCGGGAUAGCCAUCCCAACGGAUGGGUAAUACCGGGCACCGUAGCGGAAGGGCAUCCCUCUGCUACGAA